UUGAGACUCGGCCCAUUGACCGAGGUUUUCGGGGCGUCGACUAAACUUCACUCAGACCAAUCGGAGUUCACGGUGAAACUUUGUAAACAACUCUUACACGUUGUUUUAAAGCUCAUUUUCUGUAUUUACUCCAAAAUGACGCGAUGGUGCUGUAGCCAAGGGGGUCACAAGUGCCGAAACAGACAGUCAUCCAGAUGUGAAAGUCAAACACCAUUAUUUAUGAAGACAGUAGGAAUGAUAACGAUGGAAAACAGAAAGAAGCAGCACCAAAAGAAAGUUGCCAGCCUGUUGUGGCCCUACAGAAGACCUUGCACCUGGGUCAGACUCAUUCUUGGCACAACUGAGUGAUAUCAUAAACAUGGCUGCAAUGACCAGCGAAGAUCUGAUCCCACUUGCAAGCAGUCCAAGCUUUUUAUGAAUGGGUUCCUGUCAGUGGUUUAUGCUUAGGAGUUCGCUUCAGGAGGUGAUCUCAGGGCCUUCCUUCCUUCCUUCCUUCCUCCUGACACAGAGGCCUGGGGGAGUCGCAGGGGAGUCAGGAUGGCCGGAUGUGCCCUGAUCAGACAGACAGAAAGACUGACAAGGAACAGACAUGCAGACGGGAGGAUGCUGCGGCUACUGUGGACUUUGGGCUCGGUUUUGUUCCCAUCCGGAGCUACAAUGAGAAUGACAUCAUUCCUGUUUUGAUAGGACAACAGGAAGGUGGUGGGAGAUGGACAGCAGCAGGGAGUGUGGGUGAGAGUAUGAAGGAGUAUGAGGAAACAAAAGGAAAUCUUAAGUGUUUAUCAGUAAAGAAUCAGAGCUAUGAUCCUGCCAGUGGAGGUGUAUUUGACCUAAAGCCUGCAAGAGUCUUUGAUGUGCCCCCACAGAACUUUUUUUUAUUUUCAGAAACAUACAGCACUUUAUUUUUCCCCUCUCCCUUCUCCUUCUGAAUCUAAUAAAGCAAUAAAAUCAGUAAAGUGAAUUAAGUCUACAGCCGGAUUUGCCUCACAAGAGUUCUUUUAUACGUCAGUCUCAAAUGCAGCCUGCGCCUCACACAGGAAGAGCCACGGCUAUACAAAGCAACCUCAUGUCUUAGUGUACAGCUCUGUACCUGCAAGCUAUUCAAGACUAACAGAAGCUUUGUAGUUUCAGAGCACUUCUCAGUGCAGUUUAUCUCCUCUGCACGACAGCCAUUUCCUCCACCAUUCUCUGGGGGAAGAGAAGAAGAGAAAUGAUAGCAAGUGGCUGGAGGAGCAGAAGAAAGAGAGGAAAGAAAGACAGAAUGAAAGAAAGUAGGGGGAGAGAGGGAGGAUCACAAUAAUAGUAAUCUCUCUUCUCUCCCCUCCAUUUUUUUUUUCUCGGAAGAGGAUACAGUGAGUGCCAGCUGUGCUCUGCUGCUGCUGUACAGUGCACACUACUUCAGAGAAGUCAACCUCACUGCACUCCAUCCACCCCAUUGAACUGCCAGCUCUGGCUAUCAAUUCUGAGCCUUGUGCUGUCACUGCAGGCCUCUGGACACAGCAGCUGGCUGCAGGAAGACAAGCGCUCUUCCACAGAGUCUGUCCUCCCAUCAGCUGCACCCAGCUGUCUAGCAGCAGCCCCACUAUUCAGAGCCCUGCCUGCUGCCACUGGUGAGGGAGGCCUCUUUCACUGCUGUCACCGGUUCUUUGCUGACUGGAGUCCCCUUCACCAUACUUUCUUUUUCACUUCUUCCUUCCUAAAUUUUCAACCGUACAGACACAUCCGCCCUUGAGCUGCGCAGCAGGCCUCAUAUGUCUGUCUGGGCUCACUUUCUAUCCUUUCUUUCUCUUUCUUCCCAAGUCAAAUUGUCCAUCUGUCUCUGCUUUUACCAACUUUUUCUCCACUAUUUCCAUCUUGCUUUCUCACUCCCACCCAUUCUCCUCCUGUCUUCCAUGCUGGGUCUUUAGAUGAACUUUCCUUCUUCUUUUGCCGUUGCAGCCUUUCUUUCUUUUGCCUCCAUCCAUGUCCCUUCUGUCUCUCUGUUUUGUGGUACCCAUUCCUCUUUUCCGUCUUUGUUGGUUGCCAUGUCUCAGUUUCUCCACUCCUUUCUCUGCAGCUCUGUCCCUUUUUUUGCCAAUCGCUCUUAUUUCCGCACAAUUUCCAUCUCAUUCUUUGUCGCUCUGCCGCAAUCUAAACUAUGUCCCCUUUUUCCAAAUGUCACAAUGCUGUAUCUUUUCUUUCCCUUUUUCUUUAGAGUAACUUCUUUUUCUGACCCUCUUUCUGCUGUAUUUUUUUCACAGGUGUCUGUAAGGCGGGGAUUUACAUUUUCUCAGGACAGGCAGCCCGUGGAGAGAGGCCUGCUGGCAGAUCAAAGGCUCCGGCUGUAAAACGAUCUGAAAGAGUCCGGCAUUAGCAUCCAUCAGGGUACCUUGAAAGCUCCCUGGUCAGCCGAGAGGGAAGCUGAGGGCCCCCCAAAGUGAAAGCCCAGUCUGGAGAGGGGUGAUGAAGGGGCGGAGGGAGGGUAGAAUGGGGGUGGAUAGAGAGAGAGAGAGAGAGAGAGAGAGAGAGAGAGAGAGAGAGGUGGAGGGAUGAAUAACUCAGCUAAAGUCAUGAAGGAAAUAUUUCCACGAGGGAGGAAAAUUCCCAUUACAAGCUGCAAAUGUUUUUAUUUCUCUUUUGGACUCAGCCACCUACCUCUUCCCUUAACUCUUCCUCUCUCUUCCUUCCUCUAAACUUCUUCUUAAUUUCUUCCUCACUGCAUUGAGGCUGUAAGGGGAGAACAUCUCCAUCUGUGCACCAUCUCCACUCAGCUCACCAGGCCCAGACUUUUACUACUCCACCCUGUAGUUUACUCAUAGGUUCAUGUCUUGUCAGGGAUGGGAAAUAGUGUGAAGGAAGGGAGGGAGGCAUAGAGUGCAGGAGGAAGUGAAACAUGGGGUGGCUUCAUAUACAGUAUCUCUUUACAUCAGAAUUGAAAUUGGGAGAGAAAGAGAAGAGAAAUGGCAGCAGUAUGGAGGCUGUGUGUGUGUGUUCCUUCUUUUAUGCAAUAAGCAUGAUUCAUAGUCUUGAAAUGGAUAGGUACCUAACAUGUGUGAUAGGGAUCAAGAUUAGACCUGCAUUCCUGGUGUGUUCCAGUACCUCUGCAUUUGUGUCUUUUUCAAUAACAAAAGUAAAGGCCACAUAAAUCUUUAAAAAAAUAAGUCUGCAUCUUUCAAGCUGUUCUUGUGAUAAAAUUCCCUCAAGAAACAAAAUUUAUAGACAGUGAGACCUGACAGCACUGAGCUCCUUUUUUCCUGGAAAGACUCUCAGUAACAGUGUGUUACACACUGAUAUUUUCAAAUGUCUGUAGUUUUCAAAUUCCCAAGUAGAAGCACAACCACAGCUGACUAUAAACCUUUUAGCACUGACUUUCCCUCAGCUCCCAUACUGUGACACAAAGUCAGGUUGGGAAUGUUUUGUUCAUGAAUGAUUGACCUAUGAAUGAGUCCAAGUUUUAGGGAGGUCGUAGUUCUGGCUGUGUUUUCCGCAGUUCUACAGAUUGCAGCCAUCAUUUAUUGGUCCUGGUUCAGUGUUAGUUGAGCAUGGUUGAGCAGAUCUCAUGGAGGAUGGUGUGUGAGGAUUUUGCAUGAGUAGUUCAUUUAGUAGCAGUGAAAUUACAGGUGUUACAGGUGAAUACAAGGACAUAGACUUGCAUAGCAUCUAUAAUUGAAAACAUCUUAUGAGUUUUUAUGAAUAUUCCAAAUGAGUAUCGCUAGGAAUGUAAUGCUUUUUGGAACCUUAUGAUGUAAUUUAAGGGUCAACACCCAGGGCUGCUCUGUAUGUUGCAAGGCACAGAGUGACACAACGUCUACAUAGGCUGCAUAGUGAAAGCAACAUGUUAGCAAAGCAGCACCAGCUGCUUCAGUCCUCUUUAAGUGUGUACCCAUGCAUUUAGACACAGUAUUGAGUGCAGGCCACAAGCAUUUUGGCAGCACCCAAUACACAAUCUCUGUAGUUACACAAGUAGACUUAAGGUCUAAAAUAACACUUCAGGUUGUAGUUACAUGCAUAAAGCAUGGAGUAAAACACAAGAUGUUGUGGACAUUGGAGGAAGAGUUGGGCAUAUAAGAAGUCUUAUUUUCAUGCAGGAGACUACAGGGGAAUUUGUAUUUAGUCACAGAUCUUCAAUUAACAUUCAACUUAAUGUUUAUUUAACUUAAAUAAGUGUUUUAGUUGCUUAAUGGUAACCCCACCUUAACCAGUUCACUUUCCCAUAAUCGCAAUAUUUCCCUAACUUUAACCAUAUCAUACUUUCCAUGCACAUGUAGACAAGAAUUAAAAAGCAUUGUUCUUACAUGGUGAAAGGGUUGCAUGUCCCCAUAUAUGUUUGACAUUUUUGAGGCUGUGUUUACUAUGAAGUAUGCACUUACAAAGUUUUCUUCUGUGCUAUUUAAGAAUAUAGAGGAAUUUAAUGUGGACUUUACAGAAAAUAUUAAAAAUACAUAUUAAAAAGUAAUAUUAAAUAUAUUAAAAGUAAUAUUUCCAUUAUCUUUAAUUUGAUGACACCAAAGGGCUGUUGUGACCUGCAGGUGCGAUACUUUCAUUUUUGUUGAACAUUGAGCAGUGAUCAGGGCUGGGGUGAAGCUCUAAUUGUCAUUAAAGACAACUGACGUUAUCCACAAACAGACAUUAUAGCGGUCUCAUCAGUUUUAUAUGUGCAUUUACUGUGUGUUGUCAUCAGACCUUAUUGUACUUUAACAAUUUGAAAUCUGUACCAUUGUAGUGAUUAUAUGCGAUAUGGUUCCUGGUAAGAAUCUGAAAUAAGAAUUUUAUCCCCAUCAGUGAAUAAUGCAGACACUUUCAUCAACACUGUUACACAAACCUCAUAUGACAUAUGAGUGUGUAUGUACCUAUGCAGUCUAUGGUAUGUGCAUAUUUACAUGCACAUAUUUACAAGACUCAUUUUGUAAUACAUACUUGCACUCACUGCACUCAGAAAUAUCCACACACAUACUACUCAUGGAUACAAAGUAUUUCCCACACAGGAUCACCCAAACACGCACACUCUGUGGUUGUGUGUCCCUCAGUGUGCAGCUUGCUGACAUGUGUGGAGCCUCCUGUGUGCGGGGCCAGGGCUGCAUGCCACUGUCUCAGCUCAGUAAUGGAUGUCCCGUUUGUUGCACACACACACACGCAGACAGAUAGACAGACAGCGGCGGGGCUCAGCACGGCCGUCCUGUCCACCCGAGGAUGAGUUCCUCCUCUGUUUAGGGAAAAGGAUGUGAUCUCAUUCGUUAAAAAUCCAACCUAUGUCGCUUGCCACUCAUGACUUAAUCCAGGCUUCUCCUUUGUGCAGAGCGCCCUCCCCUUCCCCUCUUCUCCUCUUUCUUUCUCUUGCUCUCUGUCUCUCUUCUGUCUAUCUAUCUGUGUGUAAUCUAACGUUUGCUUUCUUUACUACUGAUGAUGAAAGCCUAUGUAGGAAAACAAUGUGUUAUUUAUGACAUGUCAUUUUAUAGUGUGCAUAUUUACUAUCAGAAGGUGAAUACAUCACUCGAUGUCACAUCAGGUAAGCAAAACACAUGCAAAUAGGCUUUGCAACGUGUGACAGAGGCAAAUUUGCAAAAAACAGAAAAUAAAAAUAAUCUAAAAGAUUUUUGUAUUUGUGAUGGCUUGACCAGUGGUAAUGACACUGAAGCCAUCACAAAUUAUAUAAUAUAUAUUAUGUAAAUGAUAUGAUGAGGUGUCAGUGCUAAGCUGAGCACUUAGCUCUGCAACCUACCUCAGUGCAGCUGAGAUCAGUAGAAAGCUUCAAGUCAUCUACAUGGUUCUUGAACUGCUGAACACAAGAGACAUGUGCAGCCACAAACAUUUGCAAUUACGUAAUCGAAAGACCCAUGUUGUGCCUCUCAAAAUUUGAAAAAUCAUGGUCUGCAGUAGUGACCAUGAUGCACACAGUCCACACUACUGAUUGGAUUCUUGGUCUGUGCUACCUUCAUGCCAUUCAUUGCCUCUACCGCCUUCUUCAAAAACACACAGCCAGGUAGCCAAAGUAUUUUUGAAAAUCUAUGUAUGUACAUAUUGUUGUGGACAGUGGACACACAGUGAUGGCACACAGUUUGGUGCUGGGCAUAUACUGAGCCCUUUAUUCUGUAUAUGUAUUUCUGUCAGGCAAUUAGGCACAUGUAUUUAAGUACAUGCUCAUGUACUGUAUGUUCAAACACAAUAAACAGCUGUUAUCUCACACCAAUUCUAACAAUAGAUUGUGCAUCUGUUACUGUUUUUAAGCCACUUUGCUGUAUGUGGGACUGUUGUUUCCAAUGCAACAUGUUGGUCGAGCUGUCCUGUUCAUAAACACACACUUUAUAGUCCACAUAUGUGCAUCCAGUGAAACUUAUAUCAGUGUUUUUAUGAUGAUUCUCAUUAGACUAGUUGACAUAAGAGUCCCACAGAGUGACUUUGGUAGUGGGAACUGAACAUAUGGGCUUUUUCUGAAAACCUAACACAAUGUGUUGCUGACAGACGCAGUUAUACAGUGGAGUGCAGAAGCACAGAACUAGCCAACAACUUGUUGAGGUUUUUGUUUCUUUUUUAUUUCAUUUCCAGACCAGCUGUGUGCAAGUAUGUUUGUGGCCAUUUUGUGUGUGUGUGUGUGUGUGUGUGUGCGUGCGUGCGUGCAUGUUUGUGUGUAUGUUUGUUCAAGUCCUUUAUGUGUUUAACAUAUUCUUAAGCUUUAUUAACACUGCGCCUGGUGUCAUCCUGGCCAGUGAUCCUCAUCUCACUCCAGCAGGUCCUGCAGCCCUCACUGCAUACACUGUCUUACUUGUCACAGUCUGCCAGGGCAGCUGUCUGCAUGCAGCAAGUGAUUGUGGCACCUCAUAACUCAACCUACAUGGAGAGAAUGAGAGAGAGAUGAACUUGAUAUACUUCAUGCAAACAAAGCCUGUUGGACUGAACUGGCUAAGAGAGAAUUUCUUGUUUAAAACCACAGUGUUUCAUUUUCAAACAUCUUCCUGUUAAUUUGCUGUUUAUUUUUCUUUCAUUUUCUCCACCUGCUUAAAACUCAUUGUAGUCAAAGCAGGCUGGGACCUGUCUCCUAGCAUGCACUGGACAGGAUACAUCAUCAAUUCACUUUGAGGCUUCAUAGCCACCAAAGAUAUACACGCAGCCCAAGAAAGCAGGAUGUAAGGACGGAAAAGAGAGAGUGACAAAGAAAUACUAAGAAGAGAAUCUCAUCACCUGUUUUCCUAGAAAGCUAUUUAUCUGUCUGUCUCCCAUUUUGUACCCACAUAAAUCCAAAGAGUUACACUAAUCCUGGUAUGGUGUCAUUUAAGGCAGUCAAAACACGGUGUCCUCGUAUAUCUUCAAUAUUACAUCUCAUUACAGUUGACCAAGAGUUAUAUAGAGCUGUAGUGAGUCAUGGAAGUCUACAGGAUCAAAGUGAGACUCCAACAAGAUGAGGUGCGAGAUAAGAUAGAUGCUAGACAGGUGCUAUCAGGGACAGUAAUUCUUCAUGCAAAUAAUGAAGCCACCCCUGUCCUUACAAGGGGCUGUUGAAACAUGAAACACUCAUACAUAACUAUUAGCCUACCUUCUGCAUUUGCAUUACCUGGGGAUAUACUGGCAUUUCCCACUUUAAUGUGAAGAGCCCAAGGGAACAAACUGUCAGGAAGCUUUCUGGGAGCCAGGUAUUGUUGAGAAGAUUAUAAACCACUCCAAAAUGACCGGCGAAACUGGACCGACCUGAUGUCUGCUGUUUGAAACUGGAGUAGCACAAGGAUGUCUAGAAACAUCCUCCUGGUUCCAACACCCUCUGGGUGUUAUCAUAUCAUUUUUAUUAGAUUUACUUUAGACUUUUCUGUUGGUGUAUGUCUAACACAACUUCUUGGUAACUUCAAAUAUUACCUGCUAUACAGGAAUUUAGUCUUGACAAAAUCUGCAAUGACAUGAUAUGCAAAAGAAAAAAAUGAAUACAACUCUGGACUUUAACUCUUAAAUCAACAGUGUUAGGCAAGUCAGUUAUGCAUUACUCAUGGAAAAAGCACAUCACAUUACUUUAGUUACUCAUCCCAGCUAUCUCAAAGAUGCCUUUAAACAACUCCAGUUCGUAGACACCCACAUUCUGUAUUCAUUCUAUGUUGUAGACAUAGGAAAAAAUAUUUUUGCUUUACAAGCAGCUAGCCUACAGUUACAGUAGGAGUUAUUUACUGACCUUAAACAGCUAACCUUAAAAUUACCACUGGUGACUGCACACAGCACUUCAGAAGUCCCAUCCUCACAGUGAAGCGACAGGGAUCACACACCCUUCAACUCUGAACAAAACCCAGAGGAUUCCUGAAUGCAAGUUUACUAGUGGCCAAAGUUAGCGAACCAACUAUCUAAGAAUGUGAAACAUAAAUAAGACAACUUUUUCUCCACAUAGGUACAUUUCUCCUCUUUUGGUAGAAACUGACCUCCUCUGACCUCUUGAGCCAAGCUGUCAUGUCCUAGAUCAACCCCAUCCAAAUACUGUUAGGACAGUGAACAAGCCAAACUCCAAAGUGUUAAAGUAACAGAGAAAUAGUGGGAUUAAUACAGAAUUUAUUGGAAUUGGAAUCCCUUACACUACUCUAAUCUACUAAUACUACUACUAAUCACGUUAAUGUAUCAUAUUACUAAGUGAUGUCUAACUGCCUAACACUACUCCUCUCCUCUAAUUACUGUCAUAAUAACAAAAAAUGAUAUACAGAACCUUCUCAGGUAAACUUUAUCCCUUCAGAAAAACUUCACAUUCUUUAUUUUCUACAAAAGACAAUAAUGCUGCUUUUGCUUUUUGAACACCUUUAUUAAUGUAUAGAUUAGUAAAUCAGAAUAGUUACACCAUCUGUAGUAAUCAGACUGGAAGUUUCUGUAUUAAUGAUAAGGUUUGUUAUUCCGUACCUGUGUGACAAUUUGCUGCAAACUCCCUGGGGACUUGGAUUUCUGGUAUCAGUUGUGUGAGCACUGUUGACCACACAACGUGCCCUCAUCGGCACACACACAUUCAGCUGAGGAAUGUCUCUCACAAUCAAUCUUAUCAGGUGUUUUGUCUGUUUUGUCUGAGGGGCAUCCGAAGAGGGCUUGGCGUUACUUCUGAUAGGCUUUUUGGAAUACACACCUCUCACCCCUUGCCUCACACAUCCCCCUCUCACCCUGUAUCAUUCCCUGCUUCCUUGUACUACUCUUUCUUCCGUUUUCCCAUAUCCCUCAUUUGUUCCCUUUUUUUUCUUUUUUCUUUUUUUUACUUCGCUCAACAUUAAAGCUCCUUCUUUCUCUGUUCUCAAAGUUAAUUAGAGGAGUAAUACUCAAAGUACCUCCCUAGCCUCUUGAUGCAGUGCCUGUCAAGAGUUAAGGUAAAACAUUAAAACAUUUUUUGAUACUUGAUCGGCACAAGGCCUUUUUUCUUUCAGAAACACUCAAUAGCCAAGUCCUCCUCCAUGCAGGAAAGACGUCGUUACCUUGUUCCCAAGCCUACCUCCUGCAGCACCCGUACCCCUGACCCGUAACAUCCAACUGAUUUAUCCCUGAUUGUUAGGAGGCCUCUGGAGCUACUUCUCGAUUGGCUCCAUAUGAGAACAGUGCCAAGAGGUCAUCUAUAACAAUCAUUUUCAGUGGCUCAUUAUUCCCAGGCCAAACAACCCAAAGACCCAAUUUCCUACGGCAGUGUUCAUAAAAGUGACAGAUGGCCAAAACCUGGAAAAGCUUUCCUAUAAUCGUUAGCCUGCUGAAGUGCUACAUACAAUGCUCUUUAGUAUAGUGGAGUUUGGACUCUGUUCCCUCUCUCUCUCCUCCUCUCUCUCUCUCUCUCACUCUCUCUCUGUCUCUCACCCACUCCUUCCACCUUCUCUAUCCUGUUCAUUUUUUCCAAGGUGAAGAAUGUGAAGGAGGAGAACACAGUGUGUUUAAUAGCUUUAGGCCAUAUUCCACCCAGUUCAGCUUUCCUCCUCUUCGUAUGGCCCACAAUGUGGAUCCAGCACACAAAUAUUUGCCAGGUAGUUUGUGUCUCUCUGAAGGCUCACUCUACCUUAACGUGGGACAGCACUUAAAGUCACAUGAACAGACAGAGGCCAAGACAAGGUCUCCUUUCAUCCCACAGACCUGCCACUCUCUGGUAUUCAGGGUCAUCUAGUCACUUGAGCAAGUCUGCACCCCUCCAUGGCUGCCUGUGAGGGUCUUGCUGGGGAAGUGCCUGUGUGAUAAAUGUGUGGCUUGGAACAACAGCUGAGACUAAGUCUUGGCUCAGCCUUCCCGCUGCCUGUUUCAGACACAAGUGUGGUUUCUUCAUAUCUUGGCUCUUUGUCAUGAAUGACCUCUUUCAUUUUUCCCCACCUCCAAUAAUAACCAAACUCCUCUACUCAGCAUUUAAGAAAAAAAAAUCCUUCCAUUUUUCUCUGAGGACUUUUUUCUCAUAUUUGUUUCCACUCCUGUCUUUUUGGCAGAGUGAAAUGCUAGGUCAUUGCAGUAACUGUAUCCACUGCCUGGUGGCUUGCAGGAUUGUGUGGGGUGGUGGGUGGGCAGAUGGGUGGUUUAAAAGAUGUUCAAAACAUACAUCCUCUUGCCAGUGAGGUUUUUCAUUCACCAAAAUCUUCUGUCUUACUCCCACUCUCUUUUUUGGCCUGUGCAUGUGGGUUUGUUUCCUCUUGUAUGUGUGUGUGUGUGUGUGUGUGUGUUUUGUUUUGUUUUUUUUUUUUUUUUGGU
Molecule: long non-coding RNA, 10632 nt
Organism: Lates calcarifer (barramundi perch)
Lineage: Eukaryota; Metazoa; Chordata; Actinopteri; Centropomidae
Exons: 4
Source: RefSeq, a predicted model, not a curated record